Molecule: ribosomal RNA, 515 nt
Filed under: uncultured bacterium
Lineage: Bacteria
Description: partial 16S ribosomal RNA
Rfam family: Bacterial small subunit ribosomal RNA
Source: RNAcentral
GAUGAACGCUGGCGGCGUGCCUAAUACAUGCAAGUCGAGCGAAUGGAUUGAGAGCUUGCUCUUAUGAAGUUAGCGGCGGACGGGUGAGUAACACGUGGGUAACCUGCCCAUAAGACUGGGAUAACUCCGGGAAACCGGGGCUAAUACCGGAUAACAUUUUGAACCGCAUGGUUCGAAAUUGAAAGGCGGCUUCGGCUGUCACUUAUGGAUGGACCCGCGUCGCAUUAGCUAGUUGGUGAGGUAACGGCUCACCAAGGCAACGAUGCGUAGCCGACCUGAGAGGGUGAUCGGCCACACUGGGACUGAGACACGGCCCAGACUCCUACGGGAGGCAGCAGUAGGGAAUCUUCCGCAAUGGACGAAAGUCUGACGGAGCGACGCCGCGUGAGUGAUGAAAGCUUUCGGGUCGUAAAACUCUGUUGUUAGGGAAGAACAAGUGCUAGUUGAAUAAGCUGGCACCUUGACGGUACCUAACCAGAAAGCCACGGCUAACUACGUGCCAGCCGCCGCAGUAA